UCAUCCCAGAAAACUAGAUUUUACUAAAUAUGCCUUUCACUUCAAGUCGAUUAUAACACAGAGAGUGAAAAACAGAAGCAGGAUUCAGUGAUCUCCAGAUGAAAGCGUCAAGCACAAAUGCACUCGUUUCGGUUUAAAAAGUUUCCGUCUCGGCUGUUCGGCAGUCCCUGAGGUUUCAUCCACUGCCAGCAUACUACGGGCUGCCUGAUCUAAAAUAGGAAACCUCCGAAAAGCAAAGAAAAGAAAAGUUUUCCCCAAUAAGCGGUGCGGAUCCCGUAGAAUCUCCGAACUAUUCGAGGAAACUAACUCGGAGUGCGCGUGAAUUGGUUUUCGCUCGUGAUCGAUCGCGCUGUGAGCGGCCUCUGUUGUGUGCUGCUGCAGUGUGUUAACACUGCAAACCAGUCUCCUCUCUUAUCUGACGCAGAGGGCCUCCCCUUUGCGAUAAAACCGGUUCUUAUUUCUAUUUAGAUAAGGAACUGCAGGUAAUGUGCCUUUUCUUCGCCUUGCAACCAGACUGAUUGACAGAGAAGUGCGCCCCUUUUUAAUGGCUUUUCCGGCACCCAUUUAACUUUUGGAUAAGGUUAUCGCCCACAUCACCCCCGUUAACAAACAAUGGAGGAUGUGCCAGGCAGAGGGGAGUGCAAAAGCUCUACAAGGUUCUGGUUAGACACAGCCAGCCAAACCCACUGCAUAGACCUGUACAGCUGACACCCAGCAGCCUCUACGAGUUGACAAAUGGAAAAAGGCCUGAAGAUAAAUGAAGCACAAUUACCCGAGCUCAGGGAUGGGUGAUGCCAUAGGCUCCCUCGGUCAGUCCCACCCUUUGGUGCUCCGGGGCAGAGGAGAGAGGAAAAAGACCCCGAGAGCAGCUGAUGACUGGGGUUCUGAUGGGAGGACAUGGAAAUGUGGGUCGUGCCUCACCUGCGCUUUCAUCUGCAGGUCCUGUUCAUCCUCAGAGAUGCCUGUCACAAAUCCCCGCUCUGCAUGUCAGAGACACCCGUUUCCCUGUGCAGCCCUGACUCACAGACAUAACCCAAUAGCACACUCACUACCAGGGACUGAAACUCACAUCUGGGCUGCAGAGACAAAGGUGAAACACUUGAGAGCUGUGGUAAAUUCUGAGUAAUGCGGCUCAUUUCUCAGCAAACACAUACUGUAAAGUUUUUGGGGGAAUGCAGAUCUUGACACAAGUUUAGAAGCUGAUGGUUUUUUGUGCUGUCUGAAAUAUAUCGGGUUGCACAUCGCUGACCUAUAAAAGACAACAGACAUCAUCUCGUCUUUCUUUUUGUUGCUACACAGGUUUUCACUGUUGUUUUAGGCUGUGGUACCAACGUCAAAUCAAAACACUUGUUUGGAUGCUCUAAUUGAUGGCAGGCAUUGUUUCCAGCCAGCUCCUCCUCUUCCCUUUCCCCAAUCCACUCCCAGUUCACUCAGAAUUACUUCUCCUCCCCUGCAGCUACGAUUC
Molecule: long non-coding RNA, 1465 nt
Organism: Oreochromis aureus
Lineage: Eukaryota; Metazoa; Chordata; Actinopteri; Cichliformes; Cichlidae
Exons: 4
Source: RefSeq, a predicted model, not a curated record